GAUGAAGAACGUAGAGAAAUGCGAUAAGUAGUGUGAAUUGCAGAAUUCAGUGAAUCAUCGAAUCUUUGAACGCACAUUGCGCCUGCCAGCACUCUGGCAGGCAUGCCUGUUCGAGCGUCAUUUCAACCAUCAAGCCCUAGGCUUGCGUUGGAGCCCUGCGGCUGCCGCAGGCCCCUAAAAGCAGUGGCGGGCUCGCUAUCACACCGAGUGCAGUAGAUUACUCUUCGCUCAGGGCGUGUGGCGGGUUCCAGCCGUGAAACCCCCUACUUCUCAAGGUUGACCUCGGAUCAGGUAGGAAUACCCGCUGAACUUAAGCAUAUCAAUAAGCGGAGGA
Molecule: unclassified non-coding RNA, 334 nt
Filed under: soil metagenome
Description: partial contains 5.8S ribosomal RNA, internal transcribed spacer 2, and large subunit ribosomal RNA
Rfam family: 5.8S ribosomal RNA (bases 1-120)
Source: RNAcentral